This 253-nucleotide ribosomal RNA is filed under the name uncultured bacterium. RNAcentral's name for it is "partial 16S ribosomal RNA". It matches the Rfam family "Archaeal small subunit ribosomal RNA", at positions 474 to 727 of the family's 1478-position model. The record is from RNAcentral.
UACCAGCACCCCGAGUGGUCGGGACGUUUAUUGGGCCUAAAGCAUCCGUAGCCGGUUCUACAAGUCUUCCGUUAAAUCCAGCUGCUUAACAGAUGGGCUGCGGAAGAUACUAUGGAGCUAGGAGGCGGGAGAGGCAAGCGGUACUCGAUGGGUAGGGGUAAAAUCCGUUGAUCCAUUGAAGACCACCAGUGGCGAAGGCGGCUUGCCAGAACGCACUCGACGGUGAGGGAUGAAAGCUGGGGGAGCAAACCGG